Molecule: long non-coding RNA, 619 nt
Organism: Agelaius phoeniceus (red-winged blackbird)
Lineage: Eukaryota; Metazoa; Chordata; Aves; Passeriformes; Icteridae
Source: RefSeq, a predicted model, not a curated record
CCGCCGCCGCUGCCCCGUCCCCGCCGCGCGGGGCUCCGGAGGGGCUCCGCCAAUAAACAAACAGCGGGGGUGCCCGAGGGAGAGGCCGCUGGGAGGAAGGCGAGAGGCAGCCGGACAGCGCGGCCCGGGGGCGCACGGAGCAGUCGGAUACCGGAGAGCGAGGAGCCGCCCCGGCCCGGGUGCCGCUCCCCGGCCGGCCCCUGCCCCGGGCAGCCCGCCAGAUGCUGCUGCCUGCCAUGAUGCUCUGUGUGAUUUGUGCCAUUCCCCAAGGACAAAGGGGAGAGAUCCUUGGUUUGGACAGGUCCUGCAGUGCCUCCUCCACCAGCCUCCCUCCACAGAAACCCAGUUGGGCCUUAACCGUGGCAGUUCCUGACCAGAGCUCUUAGUAACUGCUACAAUAUAAAGCAAUUUUUUUUUCUAGCUCUUAUAACUCAUCCUCAAGACUGAUCCAGUCCUUAUCUGCCUUGGCAUUAGCCAGGGGCAAAACUGGUAAUUUUUGUCCUGUAGUAGGUGUUGCAUGUGGACAGUGUCCAAGGAAGUCUUGCCAAAUGCCAUUGUCCUCCCAUAGUAGCCCUGGGUGUUUAGUUAUUCUGCAUAUUAAAUGUUUGAGGAAGAGUAA